Molecule: long non-coding RNA, 1102 nt
Organism: Magnolia sinica
Lineage: Eukaryota; Viridiplantae; Streptophyta; Magnoliopsida; Magnoliales; Magnoliaceae
Exons: 2
Source: RefSeq, a predicted model, not a curated record
UUUAACAAAAAGAGUGUCCCCAUCUAACUAUAUACAUUACUACCGCAUUGGCAUCAUAGAGUUAACAAUAACUGAGCCUUCUUUCCUGGUCAUAUUCAGCAGUAGUUGAGUCAUGUUUUAGACCAUGGUUAGACCCUAAGCUAAUGUAAGAUUGGUAAGCCUCCAAGUGCAAAGUUUGCAUGGUAACUCACCGACGUUACUUACAGGAAAGCUGGAAAUGUACACGACAUUUUUUUUUUUAUAUAGUUUAAUUGGACACAUUUAAAAUGUUGGUUAUUGGUGGGAUGCACUUGAAUCGAGCUGAUUUUAAGAAGCCUCUUGUCUUUCUUUCUUUCUUUUUAUUUAUCUAAAAUUCUGUGUAGUGAUGCUUUCAAGAGACUAGUAAAAGCACCAAUAAGAAUCUGUGGUGAUCGACAGAUCGAAAGAAUUCAUUCGUCUCCGACAGUUAAGUUCUUUAAAAAAAAAAAAAAAAUCUGCUCUGUAUUUGAUUUUCCUGAUCUGUUAUUUCAUCUGCUUGUUUUGCUUUGAUCCAUCUCGUUUCAUCUAGAAAAAAUAGAUUUUUUCCAUUGUUUUGAUGGAUUCAUGUGAAUUUCACUUCGGUUAAUUUUCACCAUACAACUUGUUUUUGUAUGUUAUGUAACAAGGAACAGAAGGUUUGAGAGAAUGUUAGCCUCGCAUGACGUGUCUGACUCCCACCAUCAGAAGCAAUCUUCCUUGGUUAUGGUUUCUCAAAGGCAUCAGUCCUGUGGCGAUAUUGAAGAAUGUAGCUCAAGUGACAAGAUAUUCUGACCAAAACCAGCAGCAAUCUUCUAAGAUACAGCAACACUCCUCAAUAUAAAAUGCAUCAAUAAGAAGACAGGAGAGUAGUACAUGGAAGGGCCCAAGGUUGAAAAGUAGAAGGAGAUGCUGAUGAAGAAAACUCAAGAUCAGGGCGCCCAGUUUAUUUCUUAUGACCCAGUCAAAGGGGAGUGGAAGUUCAAGGUUGAUCACUUCAGCCGGUAUGAAUUCUGCAAGAUUGAGGAUUCAUGUGCAUGCUUCUUUUCAAAUUGCAACUUAUGUUUGUGUAGCAUUUCAGAUUGCAAGAAAUAAGACCGUUUUUGCA